UUUCUUCUUUUCGUUUCCCCUCUUUAUAUCCAAAUUCCCCCCUUCCUUUCCUCCCCUUUGUUUCUUACCAACUCAAAUCUCCAAUCUCCAAUCCCUAAUCCCUUAAACAAAAAAAUCCCCGAUUUCAAAAAUCUCCAAAAUACUGUACCAUCUCUCUCUCUCUCUCUCUCUCUCUCUCUCUCUCUCUCUCACGUCUGCAAGCAGCGGCAGUGGCAGCAGCAGCAAGGGGGGACGAUGGCGAGCAGCGAGCGACGACGGUGAGCAGCGAGUGACGACAGCUAGCAGCGGCAGCGGUGGUGCGGCGUCUCAGAUGCCUUUGCCGAUUCAACCCGUCCCUCCGAUUGAGCUAUUAGGUUUUUGCCCCAAAGCGAAAACCCGGCAACGCCGACUGAGGUUAGGGUGUUAUGCGAGAAGGCUAAGGGGAUUCUAAUGGAAGAAAGCAAUGUGACCAUCUUUUGUCUUGACUCUUCCCGAUAGGAAUAAACAAACUUGUCCAAUAUGCCAUAUAAUGUGGAAGUAGUAAAGAGUUCAAAUUGAUUUUUAUUCUUCACUAAUUCUUCACUUUGAUUCUUAUGUUUAUAAAUAUAUUUUUUUGUACUGCUAGUUAUCUGUACUUGAUACACUGAUGCCUCUUGUAUUUUUCUGCACUUAUAACGCACAUUAUCCCAUAGUGAUUAACUUUA
Long non-coding RNA from Camellia sinensis, 683 nucleotides. RefSeq lists it as uncharacterized. Lineage: Eukaryota; Viridiplantae; Streptophyta; Magnoliopsida; Ericales; Theaceae. The record is from RefSeq and is a predicted model, not a curated record.